This 507-nucleotide ribosomal RNA is filed under the name uncultured bacterium. Its description in RNAcentral is "partial 16S ribosomal RNA". The record is from RNAcentral.
GGAGUUAGCCGGUGCUUCUUCUGUGAGUGAUGUCCUUCCUGCCGGCUAUUAACCCGCAGGCCUUCUUCCUCACUGAAAGUGCUUUACAACCCGAAGGCCUUCUUCACACACGCGGCAUGGCUGGAUCAGGGUUGCCCCCAUUGUCCAAUAUUCCCCACUGCUGCCUCCCGUAGGAGUCUGGGCCGUGUCUCAGUCCCAGUGUGUCUGAUCAUCCUCUCAGACCAGCUACGGAUCGUCGCCUUGGUGAGCCGUUACCUCACCAACCAGCUAAUCCGACAUAGGCUCAUCCGAUAGCGCGAGGCCCGAAGGUCCCCCGCUUUCCCCCGUAGGGCGUAUGCGGUAUUAGCCUGGGUUUCCCCAGGUUAUCCCCCACUACCGGGCAGAUUCCUAUGCAUUACUCACCCGUCCGCCGCUCGCCACCAGGGAGCAAGCUCCCCGUGCUGCCGCUCGACUUGCAUGUGUUAGGCCUGCCGCCAGCGUUCAAUCUGAGCCAUAAUCAAACUCUGA